AUAAUGACUCUCGGCAACGGAUAUCUCGGCUCUCGCAUCGAUGAAGAACGUAGCGAAAUGCGAUACUUGGUGUGAAUUGCAGAAUCCCGUGAACCAUCGAGUCUUUGAACGCAAGUWGCGCCCGAAGCCUUCUGGCCGAGGGCACGUCUGCCUGGGCGUCACGCA
RNAcentral lists this ribosomal RNA (165 nucleotides) under Suaeda calceoliformis. Its description in RNAcentral is "5.8S ribosomal RNA". It matches the Rfam family "5.8S ribosomal RNA". Rfam says of the family: 5.8S ribosomal RNA (5.8S rRNA) is a component of the large subunit of the eukaryotic ribosome. The record is from RNAcentral. Lineage: Eukaryota; Viridiplantae; Streptophyta; Magnoliopsida; Caryophyllales; Amaranthaceae.